UGAGGAAUAUUGGACAAUGGGUGAGAGCCUGAUCCAGCCAUCCCGCGUGCAGGAAGACGGCCCUAUGGGUUGUAAACUGCUUUUAUACAGGAAUAAACCACCUUUCGUGAAGGGUGUUGAAGGUACUGUAUGAAUAAGCACCGGCUAACUCCGUGCCAGCAGCCGCGGUAAUACGGAGGGUGCAAGCGUCAUCCGGAUUUAUUGGGUUUAAAGGGUCCGCAGGCGGACUAGUAAGUCAGAGGUGAAAGCCGGCAGCUUAACUGUCGAACUGCCUUUGAAACUGCAAAUCUUGAGUGAAAUUGAAGUAGCUGGAAAUGAGUAGUGUAGCGGUGAAAUGCAUAGAUAUUACUCAGAACACCAAUAGCGAAGGCAGGUUACUAAAAUUUUUAACUGACGCUGAGGGGACGAAAAGCGUGGGGGAGCGAACAGGAUUAGAUACCCUGGUAGUCCACGCCGUAAAACGAUGG
This 467-nucleotide ribosomal RNA is filed under the name uncultured bacterium. Its description in RNAcentral is "partial 16S ribosomal RNA". It matches the Rfam family "Bacterial small subunit ribosomal RNA", at positions 355 to 812 of the family's 1533-position model. The record is from RNAcentral.